CACGCCCUAAACUAUGAUUACUAGCUGUCGGCGAUAUACAGCCGGUAGCCAAGCGAAAGCGAUAAGUAAUCCACCUGGGGAGUACNUGAUACGCGAGGAACCUUACCCGGGCUUGAAAGUUAGUGACCGGUGGUGAAAGCCACUUUUCAGCAAUGACACGAAACUAGGUGC
This 171-nucleotide ribosomal RNA is filed under the name uncultured bacterium. RNAcentral describes it as "partial 16S ribosomal RNA". The record is from RNAcentral.